GGUUCUUUAUUGUUUCCUUUUGAAUGAUGCUUUCAUAUUAUCUUUUCAGUGGCAUUUUUGUUUUGUUUUUGGAUGGUUGCUACAUGCAAAUGUGUACUAGCAACCAUUUUCCAUUAGCAUUUAGUUUUGAUGGAUUCUGAUGCAUUAUUUAAAUUAAUUAAUAGUUUUUGUUUGCAUAAAAUUUGCAGAAAUUGCAAAUAUGAAAAACUUGAGAAACAGGAAUUAUACCAGAUUGUUUUGCGUGUGCCAAAUUUUUAUGCAUGGAUGCAUGCUAUUUUACACUUAUUUUUCAUCUAGAUACUGUUAAUUUGUUUUUCUCCUUUGGCUAAAUUACAUUGACUACCACAUAGAAAUAGAUAUAAUUAAAUUACGCUAGCAAUCCCUAUUUUGCAAAACAUAUUGAAAUCACUCAUAAUGAAUUUAUAAUAAAUAAUAUUUUCUCAAAAGUAAACUGUCAUAGCCUGUUCAUGGGCAAUAGUGUACUGUUUAGUUGCAGUGAUAGCUGGACAGAUUUUUAUGCUACAAAUUUAUUUUAGGGGUUGUUUUCAUAUAUUUUCAAAAAUGGAGUUUGAUCAAGACUGCUGCUGGGUUGAUUGGUGUAAUUCAUCCUUUUCGUUAUAGCAAUACUGCAAUAGUUCUAGGCCUUUAGCUAUCAGUUACAAUAUCUAGAUGGUAAGGGUUAAUUGUGAAAGUUGGCAAUAUGGUGUUUCCUUGUCCUUGCAUAGUGUUUCAUUUCUUUCACAACUUUGAAUUUCUCCCCAGAUACUUCCAUCUUACCUCGAAGUCUUUGGAGCUUCUUUUUUUUGAGCUACGUUAUAAAUGUUUUAGGAUAUUCAGCCUCAGUUCUAAACGUUUAUUGCAGUAGCAAGUAGCAGGAUUAUUUCUCUUCUUUAACCUAAAGCCUUACGAAACUAAACAUUUUUUUUAACUAGUCUAUUAGGAUAGAAAAGCCUAUGCAUCUUUUGUAAAGAUUAGAAAUGGGAGAAAAAGGUAAUAAAACAAUGUGCUGGUUCAUUUUAGAAUCAGGCUUUUUGGACUAAAUCCUCAUUUAACUGCUUUUGCCUAGAAUUCUUAUAGUAAUAUUACAACAAAGCCAUCUUGCUUUUCUCAAGUUUUUUGCAGGCUAUCUUAUUUGUGAAGGGUAAACAGACAAUCUGGGUGAACAGUUGGGCUGAUGUUUAAGUACUUACAAAAGACAAUGUUGAUAUGUGUCCUGCUUGAUGCUAUUUCCAUUAAUUCAUCUGUAUUUUGCUUUCACUUAAUAAUUCUCACAUAUAGAUCAGAAAAUUACUGAAC
This 1296-nucleotide unclassified non-coding RNA is filed under the name Hevea brasiliensis (rubber tree). The record is from RNAcentral. Lineage: Eukaryota; Viridiplantae; Streptophyta; Magnoliopsida; Malpighiales; Euphorbiaceae.